This 253-nucleotide ribosomal RNA is filed under the name uncultured bacterium. RNAcentral describes it as "partial 16S ribosomal RNA". It matches the Rfam family "Bacterial small subunit ribosomal RNA", at positions 524 to 776 of the family's 1533-position model. The record is from RNAcentral.
UACGUAGGGAGCAAGCGUUGUUCGGAUUUACUGGGCGUAAAGGGCGCGUAGGCGGCAAAUUAAGUCAUCUGUGAAAUCUCCGGGCUUAACUCGGAACGGUCAGAUGAUACUGCUUUGCUAGAGUGCGGAAGGGGCAAUCGGAAUUCUUGGUGUAGCGGUGAAAUGCGUAGAUAUCAAGAGGAACACCUGAGGCGAAGACGGGUUGCUGGGCCGACACUGACGCUGAUGCGCGAAAGCCAGGGGAGCAAACGGG